Molecule: ribosomal RNA, 492 nt
Filed under: uncultured bacterium
Lineage: Bacteria
Description: partial 16S ribosomal RNA
Rfam family: Bacterial small subunit ribosomal RNA
Source: RNAcentral
AGUGAACGCUGGCGGUAGGCCUAACACAUGCAAGUCGAACGGCAGCACAGUAAGAGCUUGCUCUUACGGGUGGCGAGUGGCGGACGGGUGAGGAAUACAUCGGAAUCUACUUUUUCGUGGGGGAUAACGUAGGGAAACUUACGCUAAUACCGCAUACGACCUACGGGUGAAAGCAGGGGAUCUUCGGACCUUGCGCGAUUGUAUGAGCCGAUGUCGGAUUAGCUAGUUGGCGAGGUAAAGGCCCACCAAGGCGACGAUCCGUAGCUGGUCUGAGAGGGUGAUCAGCCACACUGGAACUGAGACACGGUCCAGACUCCUACGGGAGGCAGCAGUGGGGAAUAUUGGACAAUGGGCGCAAGCCUGAUCCAGCCAUACCGCGUGAGUGAAGAAGGCCUUCGGGUUGUAAAGCCCUUUUGUUGGGAAAGAAAAGCAGCGGGUUAAUACCCCGCUGUUCUGACGGUACCCAAAGAAUAAGCACCGGCUAACUUCGUG